Molecule: transfer RNA, 74 nt
Filed under: Lachnospiraceae bacterium
Lineage: Bacteria; Bacillati; Bacillota; Clostridia; Lachnospirales; Lachnospiraceae
Also listed under: 1 other name
Description: tRNA-Arg
Rfam family: tRNA
About the family: Transfer RNA (tRNA) molecules are approximately 80 nucleotides in length. Their secondary structure includes four short double-helical elements and three loops (D, anti-codon, and T loops). Further hydrogen bonds mediate the characteristic L-shaped molecular structure. tRNAs have two regions of fundamental functional importance: the anti-codon, which is responsible for specific mRNA codon recognition, and the 3' end, to which the tRNAs corresponding amino acid is attached (by aminoacyl-tRNA synthetases). tRNAs cope with the degeneracy of the genetic code in two manners: having more than one tRNA (with a specific anti-codon) for a particular amino acid; and 'wobble' base-pairing, i.e. permitting non-standard base-pairing at the 3rd anti-codon position.
Source: RNAcentral
GUACGUGUAGCUCAGCUGGAUAGAGCGUCUGACUACGGAUCAGAAGGCCGGGGGUUCGAAUCCUCUCACGUACA